RNAcentral lists this ribosomal RNA (1343 nucleotides) under uncultured bacterium. RNAcentral describes it as "16S ribosomal RNA". It matches the Rfam family "Bacterial small subunit ribosomal RNA", at positions 28 to 1378 of the family's 1533-position model. The record is from RNAcentral.
GACGAACGCUGGCGGCGUGCUUAACACAUGCAAGUCGAACGGAAAGGCCCUGCUUUUGUGGGGUGCUCGAGUGGCGAACGGGUGAGUAACACGUGAGUAACCUGCCCUUGACUUUGGGAUAACUUCAGGAAACUGGGGCUAAUACCGGAUAGGAGCUCCUGCUGCAUGGUGGGGGUUGGAAAGUUUCGGCGGUUGGGGAUGGACUCGCGGCUUAUCAGCUUGUUGGUGGGGUAGUGGCUUACCAAGGCUUUGACGGGUAGCCGGCCUGAGAGGGUGACCGGCCACGUUGGGACUGAGAUACGGCCCAGACUCCUACGGGAGGCAGCAGUGGGGAAUAUUGCACAAUGGGCGGAAGCCUGAUGCAGCAACGCCGCGUGCGGGAUGACGGCCUUCGGGUUGUAAACCGCUUUCGCCUGUGACGAAGCGUGAGUGACGGUAAUGGGUAAAGAAGCACCGGCUAACUACGUGCCAGCAGCCGCGGUGAUACGUAGGGUGCGAGCGUUGUCCGGAUUUAUUGGGCGUAAAGGGCUCGUAGGUGGUUGAUCGCGUCGGAAGUGUAAUCUUGGGGCUUAACCCUGAGCGUGCUUUCGAUACGGGUUGACUUGAGGAAGGUAGGGGAGAAUGGAAUUCCUGGUGGAGCGGUGGAAUGCGCAGAUAUCAGGAGGAACACCAGUGGCGAAGGCGGUUCUCUGGGCCUUUCCUGACGCUGAGGAGCGAAAGCGUGGGGAGCGAACAGGCUUAGAUACCCUGGUAGUCCACGCUGUAAACGGUGGGUACUAGGUGUGGGGUCCAUUCCACGGGUUCCGUGCCGUAGCUAACGCUUUAAGUACCCCGCCUGGGGAGUACGGCCGCAAGGCUAAAACUCAAAGGAAUUGACGGGGCCCCGCACAAGCGGCGGAGCAUGCGGAUUAAUUCGAUGCAACGCGUAGAACCUUACCUGGGUUUGACAUGGAUCGGGAGUGCUCAGAGAUGGGUGUGCCUCUUUUGGGGUCGGUUCACAGGUGGUGCAUGCCUGUCGUCAGCUCGUGUCGUGAGAUGUUGGGUUAAGUCCCGCAACGAGCGCAACCCUUGUUCACUGUUGCCAGCACGUUAUGGUGGGGACUCAGUGGAGACCGCCGGGGUCAACUCGGAGGAAGGUGGGGAUGACGUCAAGUCCUCAUGCCCCUUAUGUCCAGGGCUUCACGCAUGCUACAAUGGCUGGUACAGAGAGUGGCGAGCCUGUGAGGGUGAGCGAAUCUCGGAAAGCCGGUCUCAGUUCGGAUUGGGGUCUGCAACUCGACCUCAUGAAGUCGGAGUCGCUAGUAAUCGCAGAUCAGCAACGCUGCGGUGAAUACGUUCCCGGG